Molecule: long non-coding RNA, 699 nt
Organism: Pleuronectes platessa (European plaice)
Lineage: Eukaryota; Metazoa; Chordata; Actinopteri; Pleuronectiformes; Pleuronectidae
Exons: 4
Source: RefSeq, a predicted model, not a curated record
UGAAAAAGCCCGGGUGGCGCUGAGAAGCAUCGGAAAAAAAAGCUGAAGUCUCUGGAGGUGGAGGCUGCUAAAUGUGCCAAACUGACGGACCUGUUUGGUGCCGGGUUCACCAGCCCAGCAGCAGCAGGUGCGCCGGGAGACAAGCGAGCAGGACUCGACAAUGAUGAGCGAGUGGAGGCAGACAUGGUUGUUGUGAUAUAUUUGAGGAGUCGUUCUCCCUCUGUUUUAUAUGUGGACAUUUGGGACCACUGUUAGAAUUUGGUUGACCACUUGACAUGUGAGAGCCUGAGGAGUUGUUCACCCUCUGUCCAUGUUCGAGGACUUGCUCUCUGUCUGCCUCCACUCUCUGCCUUCACUGUACCAAAGUUUGUCUGUUGAGUCUCCUCUAGUCUGGUUGACCACUUGACAUGUGAGAGCCUGAGGAGUUGUUUUCCAGACACAGGUAGAGCUGGCAGGGGCGUCACCCUGGGCCUGCCCUUUUGGGCUGGGUUUCAGCUGCAGAUCUAAAGGCUGCUUCCAGGGGCAUGGGGCCCUCAGCCUUUGUUUUUCUUUGCUUCUGCACCUUACAACAUACAUCACACCUUAUUUUCACACAUCCAAACACUGUUAACACCACUGACGCGUAACAUAUUUUACACAUCCCACUACGUAGUUAGAGCUAUCUUGAUUUGGAGUUAAAUAAAUUUACUUUUGGCUUGA